GAUGAACGCUGGCGGCGUGCCUAAUACAUGCAAGUCGAGCGAACGGACGAGAAGCUUGCUUCUCUGAUGUUAGCGGCGGACGGGUGAGUAACACGUGGAUAACCUACCUAUAAGACUGGGAUAACUUCGGGAAACCGGAGCUAAUACCGGAUAAUAUUUUGAACCGCAUGGUUCAAAAGUAAAAGACGGUCUUGCUGUCACUUAUAGAUGGAUCCGCGCUGCAUUAGCUAGUUGGUAAGGUAACGGCUUACCAAGGCAACGAUGCAUAGCCGACCUGAGAGGGUGAUCGGCCACACUGGAACUGAGACACGGUCCAGACUCCUACGGGAGGCAGCAGUAGGGAAUCUUCCGCAAUGGGCGAACGCCUGACGGAGCAACGCCGCGUGAGUGAUAAAGGUCUUCGGAUCGUAAAACUCUGUUAUUAGGGAAGAACAUAUGUGUAAGUAACUGUGCACAUCUUGACGGUACCUAAUCAGAAAGCCACGGCUAACUACGUG
Molecule: ribosomal RNA, 497 nt
Filed under: uncultured bacterium
Lineage: Bacteria
Description: partial 16S ribosomal RNA
Rfam family: Bacterial small subunit ribosomal RNA
Source: RNAcentral